Ameiurus melas (black bullhead) is the source of this 72-nucleotide non-coding RNA. Lineage: Eukaryota; Metazoa; Chordata; Actinopteri; Siluriformes; Ictaluridae. The record is from the annotation of a GenBank genome assembly.
UAAUAGGUGGUCUAGCGGCUAGGAUCCCACGCUCUCACCGCUGUGGCCUGGGUUCGAUCCCCAGGCAGGGGA